This 84-nucleotide transfer RNA is filed under the name Patescibacteria group bacterium. RNAcentral's name for it is "tRNA-Leu". It matches the Rfam family "tRNA". From Rfam's summary of the family: Transfer RNA (tRNA) molecules are approximately 80 nucleotides in length. Their secondary structure includes four short double-helical elements and three loops (D, anti-codon, and T loops). The record is from RNAcentral.
GCCGCGGUGGUGAAAUUGGUAGACACGCUAGCCUUAGGAGCUAGUUCCCGCAAGGGAUUGUCGGUUCAAAUCCGACCCGCGGCA